This 1416-nucleotide ribosomal RNA is filed under the name Limosilactobacillus fermentum. RNAcentral's name for it is "bacterial SSU rRNA". It matches the Rfam family "Bacterial small subunit ribosomal RNA". The record is from RNAcentral. Lineage: Bacteria; Bacillati; Bacillota; Bacilli; Lactobacillales; Lactobacillaceae.
CGCGUUGGCCCAAUUGAUUGAUGGUGCUUGCACCUGAUUGAUUUUGGUCGCCAACGAGUGGCGGACGGGUGAGUAACACGUAGGUAACCUGCCCAGAAGCGGGGGACAACAUUUGGAAACAGAUGCUAAUACCGCAUAACAGCGUUGUUCGCAUGAACAACGCUUAAAAGAUGGCUUCUCGCUAUCACUUCUGGAUGGACCUGCGGUGCAUUAGCUUGUUGGUGGGGUAACGGCCUACCAAGGCGAUGAUGCAUAGCCGAGUUGAGAGACUGAUCGGCCACAAUGGGACUGAGACACGGCCCAUACUCCUACGGGAGGCAGCAGUAGGGAAUCUUCCACAAUGGGCGCAAGCCUGAUGGAGCAACACCGCGUGAGUGAAGAAGGGUUUCGGCUCGUAAAGCUCUGUUGUUAAAGAAGAACACGUAUGAGAGUAACUGUUCAUACGUUGACGGUAUUUAACCAGAAAGUCACGGCUAACUACGUGCCAGCAGCCGCGGUAAUACGUAGGUGGCAAGCGUUAUCCGGAUUUAUUGGGCGUAAAGAGAGUGCAGGCGGUUUUCUAAGUCUGAUGUGAAAGCCUUCGGCUUAACCGGAGAAGUGCAUCGGAAACUGGAUAACUUGAGUGCAGAAGAGGGUAGUGGAACUCCAUGUGUAGCGGUGGAAUGCGUAGAUAUAUGGAAGAACACCAGUGGCGAAGGCGGCUACCUGGUCUGCAACUGACGCUGAGACUCGAAAGCAUGGGUAGCGAACAGGAUUAGAUACCCUGGUAGUCCAUGCCGUAAACGAUGAGUGCUAGGUGUUGGAGGGUUUCCGCCCUUCAGUGCCGGAGCUAACGCAUUAAGCACUCCGCCUGGGGAGUACGACCGCAAGGUUGAAACUCAAAGGAAUUGACGGGGGCCCGCACAAGCGGUGGAGCAUGUGGUUUAAUUCGAAGCUACGCGAAGAACCUUACCAGGUCUUGACAUCUUGCGCCAACCCUAGAGAUAGGGCGUUUCCUUCGGGAACGCAAAGACAGGUGGUGCAUGGUCGUCGUCAGCUCGUGUCGUGAGAUGUUGGGUUAAGUCCCGCAACGAGCGCAACCCUUGUUACUAGUUGCCAGCAUUAAGUUGGGCACUCUAGUGAGACUGCCGGUGACAAACCGGAGGAAGGUGGGGACGACGUCAGAUCAUCAUGCCCCUUAUGACCUGGGCUACACACGUGCUACAAUGGACGGUACAACGAGUCGCGAACUCGCGAGGGCAAGCAAAUCUCUUAAAACCGUUCUCAGUUCGGACUGCAGGCUGCAACUCGCCUGCACGAAGUCGGAAUCGCUAGUAAUCGCGGAUCAGCAUGCCGCGGUGAAUACGUUCCCGGGCCUUGUACACACCGCCCGUCACACCAUGAGAGUUUGUAACACCCAAAGUCGGUGGGGUAACC